Mugil cephalus (flathead mullet) is the source of this 281-nucleotide long non-coding RNA. RefSeq lists it as uncharacterized. The record is from RefSeq and is a predicted model, not a curated record. The transcript is spliced from 4 exons. Lineage: Eukaryota; Metazoa; Chordata; Actinopteri; Mugiliformes; Mugilidae.
ACACUGAGAAAGCGGCCUUCUUUUGCCGUGCAUAUGAUGAGGACAGCCAGGGCAUCUUAUGCACCCCUGAAGUAGUCCCAUCCACCGCAUCUGUAUCAGUUCAGAAUGUAUAUCCUUCUCAGACCGUAAUCUGGCCAGGGAGCGGACUGUUUGAAGCAGGUGACGAAGCAAUACUAGACAGCGUUUUGGAUUACGAGAACGAGAGUGGACUUCUAUCUCUAUCUGAAAUUCAUGCAACAGACAGGCCCGAGACACCUCCGACUAACGGUAAGAAGAAGAAG